This 43-nucleotide non-coding RNA is filed under the name Ixodes scapularis (black-legged tick). Its description in RNAcentral is "Guanidine-II sequence". It matches the Rfam family "Guanidine-II riboswitch aptamer (mini-ykkC)". From Rfam's summary of the family: Simpler in structure and has fewer highly conserved nucleotide positions than the ykkC-yxkD leader. Despite this each of its two stem-loop structures directly bind free guanidine. Lineage: Eukaryota; Metazoa; Arthropoda; Arachnida; Ixodida; Ixodidae. The record is from RNAcentral.
CUUCUAGGACGACCUAGAAGGACAACGCCUAGAGGACGACCUC